Molecule: transfer RNA, 74 nt
Filed under: Nanobdellota archaeon
Lineage: Archaea; Nanobdellati; Nanobdellota
Description: tRNA-Pro
Rfam family: tRNA
About the family: Transfer RNA (tRNA) molecules are approximately 80 nucleotides in length. Their secondary structure includes four short double-helical elements and three loops (D, anti-codon, and T loops).
Source: RNAcentral
GGGGUGGUGGUCUAACUUGGUAUGAUUCGUGGUUCGGGGCCACGAGGUUGGGAGUUCAAAUCUUCUCCACCCCA